AUCUACAGCCAUGCUACCCUUUACAAGACCGAUCCUGUUUGAUCUUGGAAGCUAAGCAGGGUCGGGUCUGAUUAGUACUUGGAUGGGAGACCACCUAGGAAGACCAGGUGCUGUAGGCA
RNAcentral lists this ribosomal RNA (119 nucleotides) under Pteropus alecto (black flying fox). Lineage: Eukaryota; Metazoa; Chordata; Mammalia; Chiroptera; Pteropodidae. The record is from RNAcentral.